This 415-nucleotide transfer-messenger RNA is filed under the name Candidatus Falkowiibacteriota bacterium. It matches the Rfam family "transfer-messenger RNA". Rfam says of the family: Bacterial tmRNA, also known as 10Sa RNA or SsrA, is named for its dual tRNA and mRNA-like properties. Its role is to liberate the mRNA from a stalled ribosome. The record is from RNAcentral. Lineage: Bacteria; Candidatus Falkowiibacteriota. RNAcentral also lists the same sequence under 1 other name.
GGGGAUGUAUAGUCUUCGAUGGAAAAUGUUCUUUAAAAAAUGGCAAACCGAGCAAGUUGGAUAACUCGUAAAACUGUUCAACAAACUUUUAAGUGCAAAAUCUAUUGCCAACAAAGCCAAGAACGCUCUAGCUAACGCUUUUGCAGUUCCUAACUUUGCUCCGGUAGUCGCUUAAGACAACCGGCAUCGUUUUCUUUAGUUCCUGUCUAAAGAAUCUUUCGGUGUCAUAUUCACAGGAUCGAUUAUAUAUUUUUCUCUUUAAUAUAUAAUUUAAAUCUUAAAGAGAUAGAAAUAUACUAGUUUGUUUGUUUACAAAGUAUAUUUUGAAUAAGCUUCGGCUUAUAAACAAACUAAGUUUGUAGAUCAUUUUUUAAAUCUUUUUCAGACAGGGGUGCAAGUCCCCUCAUCUCCACCA